GACAGAGGUGCCAAGCGUUAGGCGGAAUCACUGGGCUUAAAGCGUGUGUAGGCGGACUCCUAAGUACUUUGUGAAAUCCCACGGCUCAACCGUGGAACUGCUUGGUAUACUGGGAGUCUUGAGGCAGCUAGGGGCUACCGGAACAAAUGGUGGAGCGGUGAAAUGCGUAGAUAUCAGGAGGAACACCUGUGGUGUAGACAGCUUACUGGACCAUCACUGACGCUGAGACACGAAAGCGUGGGUAGCAAACAGG
RNAcentral lists this ribosomal RNA (253 nucleotides) under uncultured prokaryote. RNAcentral describes it as "partial 16S ribosomal RNA". It matches the Rfam family "Bacterial small subunit ribosomal RNA", at positions 524 to 776 of the family's 1533-position model. The record is from RNAcentral.